AUGUGCACCUGGUAGGGGAGAGACCAUGAUCAUGAAGGUGGUUCCCCCAAGAUGAGGCUAACUCAUUGCACUUCAGGUGUGCUGAUACCUGCGAUGUCCCCAAAUGCGGGAUACACAACUGCAAAAUUUGUGGUAGUGGGGAACUGCAUUCAUGCUCUCCCCUG
Molecule: small nuclear RNA, 164 nt
Organism: Carcharodon carcharias (great white shark)
Lineage: Eukaryota; Metazoa; Chordata; Chondrichthyes; Lamniformes; Lamnidae
Product: U1 spliceosomal RNA
Exons: 1
Source: RefSeq, a predicted model, not a curated record